CACUAACGCUUAACACCAUCCACAGCAGCACAAAUCUAGUACCUGCAACAACAUGGGUUCGAAAACCCUGAGUAUGAAGUGUACUUUCGCAAGUCUUACCCGACUAAGGAAAAAGACUCUCAAGGAUAUGCUGGAUUUAGGAAUCAAGGAGAGGCUUUUAGCAAGAAUCAACUUAGACAUUUUGCAGAAAAGCUUUCUAAAAGUGAGUCCUUACUUUCAACAUUUUAUUGCUAGAUUAGGUAUUAAUUGACUUUGUUUGCAUCUAGUCUAGUCUAAAUUCAUCAUCCCAUUAAUCAAUACAACCAUAUUUUUACUCUUUGUGAUUUCAUCCAUGACUUACGAUGAGUGGUCGGAGGGUAGAGUCUCCAUGACCGAGGAGCAACGAUGAUUCGAACCGAUUAUACCCAGCUGGGGACUCCUAACCACACGACAUAUGUUGCACUCAACCCUUACAUAUGUCAACCGUUCCCACAGAUCCUCCAUAACAUGAACCGGUCCGCGCUACCCGGGAGCACAGUACUCCUCCGUCCAGCCUCUAGCCAAGAGGGUACACGCUACUCCCACCAUCUCCCACGCCCAGUGCGCGGUUGUCUUUUCACGUAUGGAAUAGCCGGGUUCAAGCUUACCCUAUCCCAUACCAGGGUAUGUGGAUAGUUGCAAAGUCUCCACGACAACAGGCCUACAUCGAAAUAAUCCUUAAUCAACCUGGACGGAACAUCACCUGUUCCUAGCCCAUGUCUCGAUUUAAGUACUUCCAUCCUUAGGACUUAUUUGUGUACCUAAGGAUGAAUAGAAUUUCAAGGGAAUCUUGUAGUAAGAUCCCACCAUGAAAAUAGUCUUGUAGGUAGAGUCAUCCUUCCUCAGGAUAACCCCUGAGCUAAGCAUUAUUGCAAAGGACAACCUCUAUCCGCAAGAUCUAAGCAUUUUGUAAAUCAUAUUUGAUACUUCACCAGAAGUAUCUAUAAAAGGAACGGAUUUCAAGGUAGCCAAUGCAUCAAUGGGUUUCCAAGUAACUCCUAUAAACCUAAUGCACCUUUCACUAGACUUAAUGUGUGUAAAAAUCAUUUAAAAACACAAGGAAGGGGUUGCAUGCACCGGGGCUUGCCUAGAAUAACACUAGGUUAGUGUUUGUUAGAUGACGUCCACUUGGCGAUCAGCUUUUGGUCUAACACUUGUCCGGGUCAUCCAUCCUUAAGUUCGUCCAUCAGCAUCGCCUUGCGAAGAAGCCCACGCUUAACAACAUCUUGUGGUUGACUCAGCUCGUCUUCUACAUCACGUGAUCAACUAGCACACCUAAUUGAAAUGCAUGAUGCACAUGAUUGAAUAUGAGCAGGAAUAGCACAAGAUAAAUAAUGCUACAUAGUAGAAAACUAAACACUUAAUGGCGAGGUGCAAAACAACACCCAUAAGUAAACGCUAGACAUCGAUAAAUGACUAAACACCAUAAUCUCACUUUUCUAGCUCAUCCGGAUCUAACUCAACAACACGAAACAAUAAUUUAUCACAAGAUCUAUGCUUUACUUAGCUAAAACAUAACACCGAAGGCUAAAAAUACUUAGACGCAACAACCACGGGUACCUAUAACUUAAGGUGACGAAUAGAAAUACUUUAACUAGAUUUUAGAACUACUAGUCUAGAUUAUCAGGCAUAGCACAUCAACUAACCCAAGCACCACACCACUUCAUCUAACAAGUACAACCUUAUCAAACAACAUAGAGUUUUGACAAGUCCACAAUUUUUAAAUCUAAAGGCCUAAAACACUAAUGGAUGAUGACCACUAAGUAGCUUUUGGAUUUUAACUAAAGCAGACCAACCGAUGCUGCUUACCUUCAACUGAUUUGGACCACGAUAAAUAGCUAUUCAAGAUUAUUAAUCUAAACGAUCGAUAUUCAUUUAUGGGAUUUAACCGAGCACCCAAUAUAGAAUACGACUACUAGAGCAAAGUAUCGACUUCUUUAAACAACUAUCAUUUGACACAAGAAAUUCUGAAAAUGACUACCACCAAAACAUUCAGAACAAGAAAUUGACGGUUACCAGAUGAUGCUAUUUGCUCCCCACUACUUGGAGUGGCAAACAACAUUCAUCUGACACAUAAUCGAUUUCUAAAUAUUGAAUAUAAUGAUUACCAGAGCAAUUCAUCGACUUCACUAUGCAAACAAGAUUUAUCAAAAAUCACUACUGACAACACUAAAUGACAGAACGAUUUAAAUGCUAAAUUUAUUCUUUGUGUUACUAAUUUACUUGUCCUAGUAACACAUGACAUAUUCACCUAUCAAAAUACUCCUUGUAAAACUUAAAUCUUAAUACUAAGCUUCAUACGACGCAACUAUUUCACAAACACGAACACAGUCAUAUCACAUAUAUAUCUACUAAUAUUCUUCGCAUAAAUCUUUAUCUAAAAUCUAGACUUCAACACCUAACGCGACCACUUCACAAUCACCUCACUGCAUGAAACGAUGUGUUUGAACAACACUAAUAUAGUCACAAGAUCAUCACGACUAACAUAUGUAGCCAAGCCAUUCAUCAAACCAGCUAACAAAAAUAAUAAAUCGGCUCACCAAAGCUAAAUCCGAUUUGAAACCAUGAAAUCGACGACGCUGUCUAGCUUGCGCAUAUCACCGAUACUUGACGAGAGUUGCACUGGUGCUUCUCUUUCGUCUUCCGGUGCGAACACAAGGUGCGACAAAGCUGCUGAAACGACGACGAUGCCGGGGAUGGCUAGAGAGGGAGCUCGCACGCUAGAGGACCAUGACAGCGAGGUAAGGCAAAACUCAACGGCAUGCUGAAGCUGCGCGACGAGGUGGAAGAGCUGUAAGACGACGACUAGGCGAAGUUGGAGGAGACGAAAAUAAAAACGCCAGCAUGCAGAGGAGGACCGGGAUGGGAUGGCCGUGCGCCAUGGCCUAGCGGCGGUGCUGAGCUCGGCAAGACACAAGGGCCGAGCGACGACAUCCGCGACCUCGCACAGGGAAGCCGGCGAGCUGUGGACUGGGAGCGGCGUCGCGGAACGAGCAUGAGGACGACGAUAUGAGCGCAGCGAGCAGGGAGAAAACUAGGAUGCAAACGACUGCGUGCGCGGGCCUUCACCGUUGAUGUCCGAGCUCAACCGCCCACGGUUUGGUGAAGAACAACGACGUUGCUGUGGAAGUCCAAGACGGCAAGGUGUGCGCUACACAGCUGGAGCGAGGCCGAGUAGUGGUGCAGGAAAUGGCAACGCAGCACGACAAGGUCGACCGGCGCGGUUCAUGACAGGGAGCACGCACGCGCACAGUGUGCCAUGUCCUAGAGAAAACUCAGACGUCGAGAGGGAGAUGGAAGGCAAAGAGCUAGAGGCAAGCACCAAAGAUUGGCCAGGGAGGAAACGGCUUGGGGAGG
Molecule: long non-coding RNA, 3375 nt
Filed under: Zea mays
Lineage: Eukaryota; Viridiplantae; Streptophyta; Magnoliopsida; Poales; Poaceae
Description: long non-coding RNA (ZMAY_LNC005279)
Source: RNAcentral